This is a long non-coding RNA of Oreochromis niloticus (Nile tilapia), 1961 nucleotides long. RefSeq lists it as uncharacterized. The record is from RefSeq and is a predicted model, not a curated record. The transcript has 2 exons. NCBI's taxonomy places the organism in Eukaryota, Metazoa, Chordata, Actinopteri, Cichliformes, Cichlidae.
CCUGGACUUCGACACCCCUGCUGUAGGGGUUUGUAGGAGUAUGGGGUUGUGGGUCAUUUUGGUCCCUGUACACCCAGAGCUUGGUCCAUAUUGCCAGUAAUGACUGACCCAUUUCCGAUGAUCUGUUUCUGUUGGCUUCAGGUGGUGACAUCAAGUUUGCAGCAGAGUUUCAAGUGGUGGGAAAGAAAAUUGGCACCUCCAAUCCAAGGCCAUUAUCCUUGGCUGGAAAAGGUGAAGAGCCCAGUUGAGAUCAGGGAGAAGCUGCUUGCCCAGAUGAGGAGUUCUGAGUAUUUCGAGGUCUUGAUUAUGAAUGAGGGAAAGUGGAGCAGGAGACUGAGCUAUCACUUUUACAACAGUUCUGUACAGAAUUUUCUUCACUCUGACGCUGCACCAAUGUUUAGGUGAAGCUCUCGAUCUACCAGUCAAUAUUUCUACCCUCCUCCUAUCCUGACUGCAAGUUCUAGUUACUGACCAAAUGAAUGAGAUUGCAGAAAUGACUUUCCUCUAAAAAUCUACCUGGCUCUUAAGUACAAGUGUAAGGAUAGUGUAAGGAGCUUGAUCAUGCUGGAGAGAGAUUCCCUCAGCUGGGAAGGCCUCAAUAUCCUUGAGCUGAUGGCUAGGGAGAGGGAUGUCUGAGCUUGUCUGCUUAAGACUGCUGCACCCACAACUUGACCCUACAUAAGCAGCAGAAAAAUUGAAAAAUUCAUAGAAACACAUGGAUAUUGUUAAUUAAAUGUUGUGACUCAACCAUUCGAGGUUUUGAUUUUUUUCUCACAGCAAGAUGUUUUAACACCACAAGAUUUGAGUUAGGGUUACUAGAUAAAUAUACAGGAAAUGUCUGAUCAUAGUGUACCUGCGUUAGUGGACCUACAGGUGGAUAAAAGAGACUGUACGGAUACAUUUCAGACCAGUUUUAUUGAACAAAAACAUUUUUCAAAGUUCAUGUAGGAAAUACAAUAUUAUACAAGUUUUGCACAAACAAGACUAACAGAAAGCAGAUCUAGAAAAGGGCAUGGUCAAGACAGACCAAUUGCAAGGGGGUACAACAAAACUGAGACUCUUCCAGAACAAAAAGUUCACCAGGACAUGUGGGUAAUCUGUAAAGGCAGAUGCCAAACAGCAGAUGUGGUCUCAGUUCAAACAACGUGGGGAUGUUUCCAAUUCAGUCUUACUUCAUAACCUAAAUUACAUAUUUCUAGAUCAUCAAAUUUAAUGUGUACUUUCUGCUACAGAUCCCACAUAAGAAAACAGCAUUUGAACAUCAGUGUUUUGAAAAUCCAAAGACUGGCAUUAUUUACUGAGCUGGAGAUUAAAUUUGUCUAUUUUCUUGGGAUUGUACAGGCAAACAGUGGAAGUUAAGUUACAUUUUCUGGAUUUAGAGCUUGAUUUAAUGGUCUUGCGUUCACUAAAAGCUUCAGAAAAUCUAUGGAGACUGACUUUAAGAUGUUUUAUUUAUAUCAAACAGAUUUUUCUGAAAGUUGGCACGCAACAAUAUUUGUCUGGUGGAAUGUGGAUUUCUGGAGGGAAAUACAGAUGUUUGUCACAACUAACAUGAAAACAGAUUCCUUACUUGCUCACAGUAGAAACCCUUUGGAAAGCACAAAAGGCGGUUUGGCGUGCUCACCCGAACCGGCAGACGAACUAUCAAUCCCUCAACAGGAAGUUCCUGUUCUUAAAUGCAUCAAGUUGACUAAGAAGAAGAAAAACUAUGUUGCGCUAAUCUUUUUGUUCAGCACCACCUUUGGAAGAUUAGCACCUGUAGAGGAAACCAGUGUGGAGUUAAAAGAAAUCAGAUUUUCAGAGAUCUUCUAAAUGAAGCAGCGGAAAAGAACGUUAAAGACUGCCGUGUCAGGAACAGGUGACAGUAAAGCACUGGCACACUGACAAAGUGCAUUUUGUUUAGUCAGAAGGUGGGCGACAUCACUCAAAUCAAAGCUGGGAAGUUCAAAAAAAAAAAAAAA